This 642-nucleotide long non-coding RNA is filed under the name Chinchilla lanigera (long-tailed chinchilla). RNAcentral's name for it is "lncRNA (ENSCLAG00000023958.1)". The record is from RNAcentral. Lineage: Eukaryota; Metazoa; Chordata; Mammalia; Rodentia; Chinchillidae.
AUGCAAUUGCAGGUAUCUGUAAUGUUGAUGAAUUAACAUCUGAUUUAGAAGCUUGUGAUCCACAGAGCUGGUGGGCUUCCUUCUGGAAGGGAGAAAGAGAGACAUAAGACACAUUGGAGCACAAGAACACGCUGGUGAUCCUUGAUGGUGGGAUAUCUGAGGAGCUAUUGGCAUAUCUGACACAGGGGACAAAAAUGUACAGGAAGAGAUGGUGUGAUAUGCAGCAGUCUCAGAUACCUGCCAUUGCCAUACACAAUGGAAGUGAGCGAGCAGGCACUGAGAGGCAGCAUGAAGAGGUUGGGGUUUCAAAUGCCACGCAGCUUCAGCGGUCAUAAAGAUGGUGGUGAUGAUGAUGAUUACUCGGUUCCCCACUCCUGACUAUAGACAAUCAUGACCUUAUCAAAGACACCUUCUCUACCCAACCUGUCCUGAGAGUACAUCCAUAGCUCUAACACUUUAUCCAACCUAAUUUUUUAUUGUAAAUAUCAUCGUUACCUGACAUUACAUCAUAUAUGAGGUUGCAUUUCAAAUGGAUGAUCUGACUUAGUAGAAUAUAAGCUACAUGGAAACAAGGAUUUUGUCUCUUUUUUUGUCCCACCAGCACUUAGACUAAUACCUGGCAUUCAAUAAACAAUUAAUGAG